This 492-nucleotide ribosomal RNA is filed under the name uncultured bacterium. RNAcentral describes it as "partial 16S ribosomal RNA". It matches the Rfam family "Bacterial small subunit ribosomal RNA", at positions 29 to 507 of the family's 1533-position model. The record is from RNAcentral.
AGUGAACGCUGGCGGUAGGCCUAACACAUGCAAGUCGAACGGCAGCACAGUAAGAGCUUGCUCUUACGGGUGGCGAGUGGCGGACGGGUGAGGAAUACAUCGGAAUCUACUUUUUCGUGGGGGAUAACGUAGGGAAACUUACGCUAAUACCGCAUACGACAUACGGGUGAAAGCAGGGGAUCUUCUGACCUUGCGCGAUUGAAUGAGCCGAUGUCGGAUUAGCUAGUUGGCGGGGUAAAGGCCCACCAAGGCGACGAUCCGUAGCUGGUCUGAGAGGAUGAUCAGCCACACUGGAACUGAGACACGGUCCAGACUCCUACGGGAGGCAGCAGUGGGGAAUAUUGGACAAUGGGCGCAAGCCUGAUCCAGCCAUACCGCGUGGGUGAAGAAGGCCUUCGGGUUGUAAAGCCCUUUUGUUGGGAAAGAAAAGCAGCAGGUUAAUACCCCGCUGUUCUGACGGUACCCAAAGAAUAAGCACCGGCUAACUUCGUG